CGGGAUGUAGCGCAGUUGGUAGCGCGUCUGGUUUGGGACCAGAAUGUCGCAGGUUCAAGUCCUGUCAUCCCGA
Molecule: transfer RNA, 73 nt
Filed under: Treponema sp.
Lineage: Bacteria; Pseudomonadati; Spirochaetota; Spirochaetia; Treponematales; Treponemataceae
Also listed under: 3 other names
Description: tRNA-Pro
Rfam family: tRNA
About the family: Transfer RNA (tRNA) molecules are approximately 80 nucleotides in length. Their secondary structure includes four short double-helical elements and three loops (D, anti-codon, and T loops).
Source: RNAcentral